RNAcentral lists this ribosomal RNA (274 nucleotides) under uncultured bacterium. RNAcentral describes it as "partial 16S ribosomal RNA". It matches the Rfam family "Bacterial small subunit ribosomal RNA", at positions 523 to 796 of the family's 1533-position model. The record is from RNAcentral.
ACACGAACCGCACGAACGUUAUUCGGAAUCACUGGGCUUAAAGGGUGCGUAGGCGGUCCGGUAAGUUGGGUGUGAAAGCCCUCGGCUCAACCGAGGAAUUGCGCCCAAAACUACCGGACUUGAGGAAGACAGAGGUGAGCGGAACUUGCGGUGGAGCGGUGAAAUGCGUUGAUAUCGCAAGGAACACCAGUGGCGAAAGCGGCUCACUGGGUCUUUUCUGACGCUGAGGCACGAAAGCUAGGGGAGCGAACGGGAUUAGAUACCCCUGUAGUCC